Molecule: ribosomal RNA, 431 nt
Filed under: uncultured bacterium
Lineage: Bacteria
Description: partial 16S ribosomal RNA
Rfam family: Bacterial small subunit ribosomal RNA
Source: RNAcentral
CCUACGGGAGGCAGCAGUGGGGAAUUUUGCGCAAUGGGGGAAACCCUGACGCAGCAACGCCGCGUGGAGGAUGAAAUCCCUUGGGAUGUAAACUCCUUUCGAUCGGGAAGCGGUACCGAGAGAAGAAGCCCCGGCUAACUUCGUGCCAGCAGCCGCGGUAAUACGAGGGGGGCAAGCGUUGUUCGGAAUUAUUGGGCGUAAAGGGUGCGUAGGCGGUUUGAUAAGUUUGAUGUGAAAUCUCUGGGCUCAACCCAGAGUCUGCAUCGAAAACUGUCGGGCUUGAGUAUGGGAGAGGUGAGUGGAAUUUCCGGUGUAGCGGUGAAAUGCGUAGAUAUCGGAAGGAACACCUGUGGCGAAAGCGGCUCACUGGACCAUCUGACGCUGAUGCACGAAAGCUAGGGGAGCAAACAGGAUUAGAUACCCUUGUAGUC